RNAcentral lists this non-coding RNA (103 nucleotides) under Rhodosorus marinus. Lineage: Eukaryota; Rhodophyta; Stylonematophyceae; Stylonematales; Stylonemataceae. The record is from RNAcentral.
GCAAGCACGAAUUCGGCUCCAGUGGGUCCGAGAAAGCCUCAUCGCUCGCGAGGGAGAUCCGACCAGAGCGAUUGUGAGGAAACCACGAUCCUUUCCACCACAU